RNAcentral lists this ribosomal RNA (429 nucleotides) under Bacteroidota bacterium. RNAcentral describes it as "Bacteroidetes bacterium partial 16S ribosomal RNA". It matches the Rfam family "Bacterial small subunit ribosomal RNA", at positions 355 to 776 of the family's 1533-position model. Lineage: Bacteria; Pseudomonadati; Bacteroidota. The record is from RNAcentral.
UAGGGAAUCUUCCGCAAUGGACGCAAGUCUGACGGAGCAACGCCGCGUGAGUGAAGAAGGCUUUCGGUUCGUAAAACUCUGUUGUUAGAGAAGAACAGCGCAUAGAGUAACUGUUAUGCGUGUGACGGUAUCUAACCAGAAAGCCACGGCUAACUACGUGCCAGCAGCCGCGGUAAUACGUAGGUGGCAAGCGUUGUCCGGAUUUAUUCGGCGUAAAGCGAGCGCAUGCGGUCAAUUAAGUCUGAUGUGAAAGCCCCCGGCUCAACCGGGGAGGGUCAUUGAAAUCGGGUUGACUGAAGAGCAGAAGAGGAGAGUGGAAUUCCAUGUGUAGCGGUGAAAUGCGUGGAUAUAUGGAGGAGCACCAGUGGCGAGGGCGACUCUCUGGUCUGUAACUAGCGCUGAGGCUCGAAAGCGUAGGUAGCAAACAGG